Molecule: ribosomal RNA, 253 nt
Filed under: uncultured bacterium
Lineage: Bacteria
Description: partial 16S ribosomal RNA
Rfam family: Bacterial small subunit ribosomal RNA
Source: RNAcentral
UACGAAGGGGACUAGCGUUGUUCGGAAUCACUGGGCGUAAAGCGCACGUAGGCGGAUGUGUCAGUCAGGGGUGAAAUCCCGGGGCUCAACCUCGGAACUGCCUUUGAUGCAGCACGUCUCGAGUCCGGAAGAGGUGGGUGGAAUUCCUAGUGUAGAGGUGAAAUUCGUAGAUAUUAGGAAGAACACCGGUGGCGAAGGCGGCCCACUGGUCCGGUACUGACGCUGAGGUGCGAAAGCGUGGGGAGCAAACAGG